Long non-coding RNA from Canis lupus familiaris (dog), 695 nucleotides. RefSeq lists it as uncharacterized. NCBI's taxonomy places the organism in Eukaryota, Metazoa, Chordata, Mammalia, Carnivora, Canidae. The record is from RefSeq and is a predicted model, not a curated record. The transcript has 2 exons.
CGCAGCGGGCUGGCCGCCGCGUGUGCGCUCCCCGGGCCUGGACACCCGGACGGCCCUCGGCCCCGCCACCGGUCCUCUUUUCAGCGUUAACCGUCCACCCACAAAAGUAAUGGCCGGGCGGAAGCACCAACCAACCUGUCUGCUCGGCUCUAGUGAGCAUGUACAAGGCCUUUUUGGAAAGUUAAGGCAACUCCUAGACUCGUUCUAGAAUAGGCGAGAGCCCGGUAACUGGGGCUGCGCCGGAGAGGGUAGCUAACUGCGCGGCUGGGAAGAGGGAUAUUAAGUUGUUCACCUUUGUACCAGGUUUUGUUUUUGUUUUUUCAUGCAUUCAUGAGACACCGAGGCAGAGGGAGAAGCAGGACUCGAUCCCAGGACCCUGCCGGCGCCCAACCACUGAGCCACCCAGCUGCAUAAUAUUCCCUUGUAUGGACCUACCGCAUCUCGUUUAUCCAUUCAGCCAUUGAUGGAUCCUUGGGCCAUUUCCACAUUUUGGAGACUGAAUGAUGCAGCUAUGAACAUGGGUCUGUGUGUAUCUUCCUUCAACUUCAGUUCCUUUGGGUAAACACCCAGGGGUGGAAUGACUGAGUCAUACAGUGGUCUGUGUUUGAUUUUUUGAGGAACCACCAGACUGUUUUCCACAUUGGCUGCACCACUUUACAUUCCCACCAGCAAUGCACAACAUUCUCCACAUUCUU